Molecule: small nucleolar RNA, 77 nt
Organism: Erinaceus europaeus (western European hedgehog)
Lineage: Eukaryota; Metazoa; Chordata; Mammalia; Eulipotyphla; Erinaceidae
Gene: SNORD83
Rfam family: Small nucleolar RNA SNORD83
About the family: U83 (SNORD83) and U84 (SNORD84) are members of the C/D class of snoRNA which contain the C (UGAUGA) and D (CUGA) box motifs.
Source: Ensembl
GCCAAAUGAUGUUUAUUUUGAUGCAGGAGCACUUUUGUGCCAGGACGACUCUAAUCUAUCACCCAUGACUGAUGGCU